Molecule: ribosomal RNA, 492 nt
Filed under: uncultured bacterium
Lineage: Bacteria
Description: partial 16S ribosomal RNA
Rfam family: Bacterial small subunit ribosomal RNA
Source: RNAcentral
AGUGAACGCUGGCGGUAGGCCUAACACAUGCAAGUCGAACGGCAGCACAGUAAGAGCUUGCUCUUACGGGUGGCGAGUGGCGGACGGGUGAGGAAUACAUCGGAAUCUACUUUUUCGUGGGGGAUAACGUAGGGAAACUUACGCUAAUACCGCAUACGACCUACGGGUGAAAGCAGGGGAUCUUCGGACCUUGCGCGAUUGAAUGAGCCGAUGUCGGAUUAGCUAGUUGGCGGGGUAAAGGCCCACCAAGGCGACGAUCCGUAGCUGGUCUGAGAGGAUGAUCAGCGACACUGGAACUGAGACAGGGUCCAGACUCCUGCGAGAGGCAGCAGUGGGGAAUGUUAGGCAAUGGGCGCAAGCCUGAUCCAGCCAUACCGCGUGGGUGAAGGAGGCGUUCGGGUUGUAAAGCCCUUUUGUUGGGAAAGAAAAGCAGCAGGUUAAUACCCCGCUGUUCUGACGGUACCCAAAGAAUAAGCACCGGCUAACUUCGUG